AAUAGAUACCCAGGUAGUCCACCCGUAAACGUUGGGAACUAGUUGUGGGGUCCUUUCCACGGAUUCCGUGACGCAGCUAACGCAUUAAGUUCCCCGCCUGGGGAGUACGGCCGCAAGGCUAAAACUCAAAGGAAUUGACGGGGACCCGCACAAGCGGCGGAGCAUGCGGAUUAAUUCGAUGCAACGCGAAGAACCUUACCAAGGCUUGACAUACACGAGAACACCCUGGAAACAGGGGACUCUUUGGACACUCGUGAACAGGUGGUGCAUGGUUGUCGUCAGCUCGUGUCGUGAGAUGUUGGGUUAAGUCCCGCAACGAGCGCAACCCUCGUUCUAUGUUGCCAGCACGUAAUGGUGGGAACUCAUGGGAUACUGCCGGGGUCAACUCGGAGGAAGGUGGGGAUGACGUCAAAUCAUCAUGCCCCUUAUGUCUUGGGCUUCACGCAUGCUACAAUGGCCGGUACAAAGGGCUGCAAUACCGUGAGGUGGAGCGAAUCCCAAAAGCCGGUCCAGUUCGGAUUGAGGUCUGCAACUCGACCUCA
This 542-nucleotide ribosomal RNA is filed under the name uncultured bacterium. RNAcentral's name for it is "bacterial SSU rRNA". It matches the Rfam family "Bacterial small subunit ribosomal RNA", at positions 777 to 1320 of the family's 1533-position model. The record is from RNAcentral.